GGAUGAACGCUAGCGGGAGGCUUAAUACAUGCAAGUCGAGCGGCAAGGUCUUCGGACCCUAGAGCGGCGCACGGGUGAGUAACGCGUACGCAAUCUGCCCUUCAGUGAGGAAUAGCCCUGGGAAACUGGGAUUAAUACCUCAUAAUAUUAUUUAUUCGCAUGAAUAGAUAAUUAAAGUUCUGGCGCUGAAGGAUGAGCGUGCGUCUGAUUAGCUUGUUGGUAGGGUAACGGCCUACCAAGGCUACGAUCAGUAUGGGGCGUGAGAGCGUGACCCCCCACACGGGUACUGAGACACGGACCCGACUCCUACGGGAGGCAGCAGUAAGGAAUAUUGGGCAAUGGAGGCAACUCUGACCCAGCCAUCCCGCGUGAAGGAUUAAGGCCCUAUGGGUUGUAAACUUCUUUUGUUUGGGAAGAAAUCAAGACAUUUAUGUGCUGUUGACGGUACCUUACGAAUAAGCACCGGCUAACUCCGUGCCAGCAGCCGCGGUAAUACGGAGGGUGCAAGCGUUAUCCGGAAUCACUGGGUUUAAAGGGUGCGUA
This 543-nucleotide ribosomal RNA is filed under the name uncultured bacterium. RNAcentral describes it as "bacterial SSU rRNA". It matches the Rfam family "Bacterial small subunit ribosomal RNA", at positions 27 to 573 of the family's 1533-position model. The record is from RNAcentral.